RNAcentral lists this long non-coding RNA (200 nucleotides) under Hordeum vulgare. Its description in RNAcentral is "long non-coding RNA (HVUL_LNC005708)". The record is from RNAcentral. Lineage: Eukaryota; Viridiplantae; Streptophyta; Magnoliopsida; Poales; Poaceae.
CGGAUAUGGAAGUAAAGGUCUCGGAUCUCCUGUCCGCCAGACCGAAGAUCGCCGGAGGUGAGUUUAGGUGAUUGGUCGGAGAAGGGAAGUGAAAUAAAAUGGCUAGUGUUUGGUUCAGCAAACGGAUAAAGAUAAAUAUACGUGGGGUCGAUGUAGUCCAGCACGGGCCAGGCCAACGUGCGUUCAUGAUUGUCCCAGAG